AGAGUUUGAUCCUGGCUCAGGACGAACGCUGGCGGCGCGCUUAACACAUGCAAGUCGAGCGAGAACCGAAGCCUUCGGGCAUCGGGGAAAGCGGCGAACGGGUGAGUAACACGUGGGCAACCCACCCUUGGUACCGGGAUAGCCCGGGGAAAACCCGGAUUAAUACCGGAUGGCCCAGCAGCUCUUUGGGGCGGCUGGAAAAGGGAGCUUCGGCCUCCGACCAAGGACGGGCCCGCGGCGGAUUAGCUUGUUGGUGGGGUAACGGCUCACCAAGGCGACGAUCCGUAGCUGGUCUGAGAGGACGAUCAGCCACACUGGGACUGAGACACGGCCCAGACUCCUACGGGAGGCAGCAGUGGGGAAUCUUGCGCAAUGGGCGAAAGCCUGACGCAGCGACGCCGCGUGGGGGAAGAAGGCUUUCGGGUUGUAAACCCCUUUCAGGAAGGACGAAGCUACUCGGGUGAAUAGCCCAGAGGGUGACGGUACUUCCAGAAGAAGCCCCGGCUAACUACGUGCCAGCAGCCGCGGUAAUACGUAGGGGGCAAGCGUUGUCCGGAUUUAUUGGGCGUAAAGAGCGUGUAGGCGGCCAUGUAGGUCCGUUGUGAAAACUCGAGGCUCAACCUCGAGACGCCGAUGGAAACCAUGUGGCUAGAGUCCGGAAGAGGAGAGUGGAAUUCCUGGUGUAGCGGUGAAAUGCGCAGAUAUCAGGAAGAACACCCGUGGCUAAGGCGGCUCUCUAGUACGGUACUGACGCUGAGACGCGAAAGCGUGGGGAGCAAACAGGAUUAGAUACCCCCGUAGUCC
Molecule: ribosomal RNA, 804 nt
Filed under: uncultured bacterium
Lineage: Bacteria
Description: bacterial SSU rRNA
Rfam family: Bacterial small subunit ribosomal RNA
Source: RNAcentral